Orbicella faveolata is the source of this 653-nucleotide long non-coding RNA. The record is from RefSeq and is a predicted model, not a curated record. Lineage: Eukaryota; Metazoa; Cnidaria; Anthozoa; Scleractinia; Merulinidae.
AACCAUUGCCCGACAACACAAGGUUUACAAGAUCGUGCAAUAAGGAUCAGAAUGUUUAAACCAUCAUUUUAUGGUAAUUAAGUAAAGGUCUAAUAUAGGAUCCUGUAAGAAGAAGAUCGGUGUUGUCACCAUAUCUCUGGAAUUGAAGCAAAUCAGAUGUCUAAUAUAGGAUCCUGUAAGAAGAAGAUUGGUGUUUGGUCUCUGGAAUUGAAGCAAAUCAGAUGUCUAAUAUAGGAUCCUGUAAGAAGAAGAUUGGUGUUUGGUCUCUGAAAUUGAAGCAACUCAGAUGUAAGUACAUGUACAUUUAUCUAAAAGGGGUCCUUCUCAACUAAAAAUUGGCCAUGAAUUUGUUGCCGUAAGGAAGUUUUCUAACCAUUUUUUUUUGAAAACCAGACCUCCUAAGGAUAAGCUUUUUGCACAGGUUUGUCCUAUUGAAGAGUCCUGCCAAAGUUUCAAAUGACGGCCAUAUUUGACCAGUCACAUGACCAGAAUAGGAAAAAACCCCUAACACUUUUAAAGGCAUCUAAAUCCAAAAAUUUAAAUCAGUGUCAAUAGAUUAAGAAUGUCCAGGUGCUUAAUGCUAUGCAUCAUAAAAGUUAUGAGGUAAUAAACGCCGGUAGUAACAGACUUUCUUCAGUAGCUUUCCUUUUACA